Molecule: non-coding RNA, 73 nt
Organism: Chelonia mydas (Green sea turtle)
Lineage: Eukaryota; Metazoa; Chordata; Testudines; Cheloniidae
Source: Rfam
GCCUGGCUAGCUCAGUUGGUGGAGCCUCAGGCUUUUAAUCUGAGGGUCCAGGGUUCAAGGCCCUGGUCAGGUG